Molecule: ribosomal RNA, 316 nt
Filed under: uncultured Chloroflexota bacterium
Lineage: Bacteria; Bacillati; Chloroflexota
Description: bacterial SSU rRNA
Rfam family: Bacterial small subunit ribosomal RNA
Source: RNAcentral
GAUAAACGCUGGCGGCGUGCUUUAUGCAUGCAAGUCGAACGGUCUUGAUUUAUCAAGAUAGUGGCGAACGGGUGAGUAACACGUAAGUAACCUGCCCCUAAGUGGAGAAUAACUUCGGGAAACUGAGGCUAAUACUGCAUGUGGUGACGAGGGUAAUGCUUCGUUAUUAAAGCCUUCGGGCGCUUGGGGAGGGGCUUGCGGUCGAUUAGCUAGUUGGUAAGGUAACGGCCUACCAAGGCGACGAUCGAUAGCUGGUCUGAGAGGAUGAUCAGCCACACUGGGACUGAGACACGGCCCAGACUCCUACGGGAGGCUG